RNAcentral lists this long non-coding RNA (1183 nucleotides) under Bos indicus x Bos taurus (hybrid cattle). RNAcentral describes it as "lncRNA (ENSBIXG00000021440.1)". The record is from RNAcentral. Lineage: Eukaryota; Metazoa; Chordata; Mammalia; Artiodactyla; Bovidae.
AUGAAAGCAGUGAAGUCCUUGCUUUUUCCUUCUCCUCCCCUUCCUCCUCCUCCUUCCUUCCCCUCUCCCAUCUCCCCUUCUCCUCCCCUUCUCUUCUUUCUUUUCCUUCUAGGCUGUUUCCUGGCACAGACAGGGCCCAUGCUCUCUGCUGAGGAUAAAGUGGCUUGCUCCUCGCUGGGAGAAGACUUCUGGGGACUGUUGUUCCAGCAUUUGGAUAAAAUGACAAAAUGAGAUUUUCAAAUCUUCCUUUCACAUUUUCCAGAUAUGAAUGGUACCAGAUUUACCAUUAAAAAAAAAAAAAUCACAGUUGAGCUUCCAACUUGUACUUUUUUUUUUUUUCCAUUAAUGGGUUCUUUCCAAGACAGGAAAUCAACAAGAGAGAAAAAAUUUAUAGCUAGUCUCAGUUAAAGAAUGCCAUUUUGAGCACUGGAUUUUCUUUUCUGCUUUCAAAUACCCACAUUUGUCUUCACAUUUCUUCCCCAAAAUCCUCAUCAUCUUAUUCGACACGGUAGAUGCUUAAUAUGCUGACACUUAUGGGAAGAGAAGGUCUCUCCAGGGAGAGUCAUAGAGUUGUUCUGGGUGACUGCCGGAGCUGCUGACCUGAGCCAUCCUGGUGUUGCCAGGAUGCAGCGUGUCUCCAGUUUCAGUAGAUGAGAGGCUCAGGGGCACCUUGGGCUGGCUUUGUCUAUCCAGAUUUAGAAGAUGGCUUCAAAGAUGGAGCCAAGGCUCCAGAAAGAUCUUUCAUAAGGUUAUCCAUGGAGGUGACUGACUGGAGAAGAUGUCAGGGUCACGCACCUUGUUUUCCUCAAUAAUUUCUCUAUUCACUCCAGACUGUCUUCUUAAACUGUUAAAAUCAAAGAAAGAGUAUUUUUUAAAAUUAUGAUGCUUCUAAUGUACCUUUUGUAUUAUGUUCUGAGAGAGUUAAGAUAGGGAUCAGAUCUUAUAAUUAUACAAGUUAUUGUGUAUAAUUGCAUGAGAUAAACUUUUAAGAGGAGAAGAAAAGGUGGUUUAAUACAUUUCUGUCUCUUAGAAUUUUGGAAUUGUGAGAAGUCACCAAAAGAAGAGAACGUUAUCAUAGACCUUAGGAAUAGUGUUUUUAUUUAUCGUUCUCUUUAUUUUAAAAAUGAAACAGUUGAGAUUUUUCACCAAUAAAAUUGACAAAGAUAAUCUUUAUAUGAUCGUA